UCGAUCAGUGGAAUCGAUCAGCCAUCAUCCUUCAAAACCGGAGCAAAAGAAUAUUAUAGCAAUAAGUUUUUUCAUUAUCUUACCACAAACCGACAUUAACUGCAAAUGCAUGCAAAUCGUUUUGAUUUUAUGUGCGACGAUUUUGCUUGAGGUAGAUGAUGGAAAAAUGCAGAGAGUAGGAAUUCAUUGUUGACUUUGCGUAGUUCAUCGUAAGCUUGUGCCAGGGAAAUGGUUUCUUGAUGUUACCUUGGCGGAAGAAGCUGUUACGAUAGCGAUCAACUCGAAUGUACUCUCUUUCCCUCUCUCUCUCUCUCUCUCUGUUCCUCUUUGUCGAGAGAGUAACCAGUCGGUUUUCUCCCACUCUCACUCUCUCGUUCCUAUAAGAAGUUCACGAACCUUCGCCGUUCUUAGGUACGCGUAAUAUUGCCCGACACGCGGCAAGGUGUACGCGAUUAUAGUUUGACGCAUGUUUGAUGACUUAUUGGUGGUGAAAUUGCAUGUACAACGGAGUUGAAAAGACGAGUUGGCAUUGUACGUGAUACCUGAUGGCUUUUAUGAAAUGGCGUUUAUAAAAUUGACAAUUGCCUUUGCGCAGAAAGAUUUAUGAGAAUGAGAACGGUAGGACGGUAAGGUUCCAACUGGCUCCAGGAAAAACUUAGCUCAGCAUCCUAACAAAUAAGGUAGAAUAAAAUCGAUCCGAUAACAAAUAUUAUUAUUGCCGAUACUGCUCAGGGCUUCCUUUUGCUGUUAAAUUUAAACCCUAAUAAACAACGGACAUCAUCUUUAUUUUAUUCAUUAUUUCCUAACGCACAUGUCAACAUGUUAUUAGAUCUCCAUUUUGUUAUUAAUAGAUCUUAUUAUUAUCUAUAAAUGAAUAUUGUCUAUAAAUAUACAUAUUUUACGCUUAUUAUAUUAUUAUUGCUGCAUUUGCUAUGAUUGGAUGAUCAAGCCAUCCUGCUAAAUACCUAUAAAAUCCAGAUAAGAUAUAAUCAAAAAGCAACGAAAUGGAGUAUGGAUGAAUGUGAAAGCUCGUCAUGUAGAGGGUUAUCGACCUAAAAUAAAACUAUAACUUUUUAUAAUGUUUCAAUACAACUUACAAGAAACUGAAUGUUAAUUUGACGUUUAUUUUUAGGUUUUCUCUUCAUUAUUCUACAAUUAGAAUUAAUUUUCUCGCAGCGCUGAGUAGAAAAUUCGAAAAACUUUCUAUUACGCUAUUACGAAUCCGUUAGUUACGCGAAAACUUCCAUCGUGUUGAACAAAACAAGUGCAUCCGGAAUGACUACCAAUUUAAUUCCAGUUACCGAUUGCACCAGAUUGUACGCUCAUGGAUUCUGAAAAUACACACGUGAAUAAUCAAUGGUCAUUGACCCUUCGCUUUUCGAUCUUUUCUCUUUUUGCAUUCUUCAUGCAUCCUACAAUCAGAAAUAUCGAAAUUGUUUUGUAAAACGAGUGGAUGUUUGAAAUAAAGUAAUAUUCCACAAAAAUCGAAAUCAGUAUGGUUUAUAUUAUUAUAUCACUAGAUAUCCCACUAAAUGUUAUUAUAUAAUAAUAACAUUUUAUUCUUCUUUCUCUUGAUUUUAGUUAUAAAAUGAAAAAUAUCAUAAACACAUUAUAGUGAGAAAGAUACAAUAUAGAAUAUCUUUUUGUUCUAUAUUUUUUAUUUUGACUGGUCUAAUAUAUUGUUGCUUUUAAUAAUAAAUGCUUUUCUUCUUCUUUAAUUCAUUUCAAGUUUUAAAUAUAUCAUAAAAACCUUAAUUGAGUUGAAGAUUGGAUAACAGUUUCAAAUAAAUGUCAUUUAUUCUCAUUAAUUUAUUGUAUUUAUUAUAUUUAUCGUAAAACUCUUUUCUAAGAAUGGCCAUUACUAAGAACAAGAAUGAAACGUCUACAUGAAUACGUCAUGUAAUAUGUAAUGUCAUGCUAUAUUAUUUGCAAGUAGCAUAUAUUUUUUAUUUAAAUCGUAAUACAAUAUUAAUUAACACGGUUACCUUGAAAUGGUUUUAACAGUCCGCAAAACAAUAGUAUGUAGUUUUGCAUCUCUCAAACAAACUGAAUUAAUUAUUUAUACCAUAUUUUCCUCAUAUUAUGUCACCUAGAUUUAAUUGCGUCACCUUAAGGUGACUUUAUUCUUCCUUAGGUAGAAUUUAAAUAAUGUAUGUACAUUAUUAACAAAAAGUUUCACUUUUAGGUAAAAAAACUUUUUGUUCAAACGUGCGUCAGUUUUACGAAAAACGGUCAAAAAGUGGAGGAGAAACCUUUCCGGCCGCGGAACACUAUCUGUGAGAAGAGGCUGAGCUCUGGCGCCGCCAUUUUGUAAAAAAAUUCAAUAAAAAUUUGUAAAUACACUUCAAAGUAUGUACAAUAAAGGCCUUUAAACGGA
This is a long non-coding RNA of Ooceraea biroi (clonal raider ant), 2377 nucleotides long. RefSeq lists it as uncharacterized. The record is from RefSeq and is a predicted model, not a curated record. NCBI's taxonomy places the organism in Eukaryota, Metazoa, Arthropoda, Insecta, Hymenoptera, Formicidae.